GUAGUCGUAUUUGUAUCAAUCCACAUAUGUUGGGGUGGAUUGGAAUGAAACUUGAACUAAAUUCCACCUCAAUCCACCCCAACAUAUGUGGAUUGAGAUGAAUCCGACA
This is a microRNA precursor of Sorghum bicolor (sorghum), 109 nucleotides long. It matches the Rfam family "MIR5565 microRNA precursor family". The record is from Rfam. NCBI's taxonomy places the organism in Eukaryota, Viridiplantae, Streptophyta, Magnoliopsida, Poales, Poaceae.